GGUGGGGUGGCAGAGCGGUUGAACGCGCCGGACUUGAAAUCCGGUUUGCCCGUCAGGGCAACAGGGGUUCGAAUCCCCUCCCCACCG
This 87-nucleotide transfer RNA is filed under the name Phycisphaerae bacterium. RNAcentral describes it as "tRNA-Ser". It matches the Rfam family "tRNA". From Rfam's summary of the family: Transfer RNA (tRNA) molecules are approximately 80 nucleotides in length. Their secondary structure includes four short double-helical elements and three loops (D, anti-codon, and T loops). Further hydrogen bonds mediate the characteristic L-shaped molecular structure. tRNAs have two regions of fundamental functional importance: the anti-codon, which is responsible for specific mRNA codon recognition, and the 3' end, to which the tRNAs corresponding amino acid is attached (by aminoacyl-tRNA synthetases). tRNAs cope with the degeneracy of the genetic code in two manners: having more than one tRNA (with a specific anti-codon) for a particular amino acid; and 'wobble' base-pairing, i.e. permitting non-standard base-pairing at the 3rd anti-codon position. The record is from RNAcentral. RNAcentral also lists the same sequence under 1 other name. Lineage: Bacteria; Pseudomonadati; Planctomycetota; Phycisphaerae.